GCCAAGGUGGCGGAGCGGCUACGCGGUCGCCUGCAGAGCGACUAUUACUCCAGUUCAAAUCUGGACCUUGGCU
This 73-nucleotide transfer RNA is filed under the name Methanomicrobium sp. RNAcentral's name for it is "tRNA-Cys". It matches the Rfam family "tRNA". From Rfam's summary of the family: Transfer RNA (tRNA) molecules are approximately 80 nucleotides in length. Their secondary structure includes four short double-helical elements and three loops (D, anti-codon, and T loops). Further hydrogen bonds mediate the characteristic L-shaped molecular structure. tRNAs have two regions of fundamental functional importance: the anti-codon, which is responsible for specific mRNA codon recognition, and the 3' end, to which the tRNAs corresponding amino acid is attached (by aminoacyl-tRNA synthetases). tRNAs cope with the degeneracy of the genetic code in two manners: having more than one tRNA (with a specific anti-codon) for a particular amino acid; and 'wobble' base-pairing, i.e. permitting non-standard base-pairing at the 3rd anti-codon position. The record is from RNAcentral. Lineage: Archaea; Methanobacteriati; Methanobacteriota; Methanomicrobia; Methanomicrobiales; Methanomicrobiaceae.